GAUGAACGCUAGCUACAGGCUUAACACAUGCAAGUCGAACGGAGUGCCUUUGAAAGAGGAUUCGUCCAAUUGAUAAGGUUACUUAGUGGCGGACGGGUGAGUAACGCGUGAGGAACCUGCCUUGGAGUGGGGACAACGGCUGGAAACGGUCGCUAAUACCGCAUAAAAUAUUUGAGCGGCAUCGCUUAAAUAUCAAAGGAGCAAUCCGCUGAAAGAUGGGCUCGCGUCUGAUUAGAUAGUUGGUGGGGUAACGGCCUACCAAGUCGACGAUCAGUAGCCGGACUGAGAGGUUGAACGGCCACAUUGGGACUGAGAUACGGCCCAG
This 325-nucleotide ribosomal RNA is filed under the name uncultured bacterium. Its description in RNAcentral is "bacterial SSU rRNA". It matches the Rfam family "Bacterial small subunit ribosomal RNA", at positions 28 to 334 of the family's 1533-position model. The record is from RNAcentral.